GAUGAACGCUGGCGGCGUGCCUAAUACAUGCAAGUCGAGCGAACAGAUAAGGAGCUUGCUCCUUUGACGUUAGCGGCGGACGGGUGAGUAACACGUGGGUAACCUACCUAUAAGACUGGAAUAACUCCGGGAAACCGGGGCUAAUGCCGGAUAACAUUUAGAACCGCAUGGUUCUAAAGUGAAAGAUGGUUUUGCUAUCACUUAUAGAUGGACCCGCGCCGUAUUAGCUAGUUGGUAAGGUAACGGCUUACCAAGGCAACGAUACGUAGCCGACCUGAGAGGGUGACCGGCCACCCUGGAACUGAGACACGGUCCAGACUCCUACGGGAGGCAGCAGUAGGGAAUCUUCCGCAAUGGGCGAAAGCCUGACGGAGCAACGCCGCGUGAGUGAUGAAGGUCUUCGGAUCGUAAAACUCUGUUAUUAGGGAAGAACAAAUGUGUAAGUAACUGUGCACGUCUUGACGGUACCUAAUCAGAAAGCCACGGCUAACUACGUG
RNAcentral lists this ribosomal RNA (497 nucleotides) under uncultured bacterium. RNAcentral's name for it is "partial 16S ribosomal RNA". It matches the Rfam family "Bacterial small subunit ribosomal RNA", at positions 28 to 507 of the family's 1533-position model. The record is from RNAcentral.